RNAcentral lists this non-coding RNA (190 nucleotides) under Peptoniphilus harei. RNAcentral's name for it is "T-box sequence". It matches the Rfam family "T-box leader". Rfam says of the family: Uncharged tRNA acts as the effector for transcription antitermination of genes in the T-box leader family. The record is from RNAcentral. Lineage: Bacteria; Bacillati; Bacillota; Tissierellia; Tissierellales; Peptoniphilaceae.
AUAUAAGCUGUGAAGAGGACGGUAAUUUUUAGAAAGUAAGAGAACAGUUGGUUGGUGCAAAACUGCCUUUCAAAAUUUUACAGAUCACCUCGGAGCUCAAGAGUCAAAAGCUCUUGCGUAAUUUUGCGUUAAGAUAUUAAGUGAUAGUUUCCUAUAAUUAGGGUGGUACCGCGGUUAGUUCGUCCCUUCU